CUUGUACACACCGCCCGUCACACCAUGGGAGCGGGUUCUGCCAGAAGUAGUUAGCCUAACCGCAAGGAGGGCGAUUUCCACGGCAGGGUUCGUGACUGGGGUG
This 103-nucleotide ribosomal RNA is filed under the name uncultured bacterium. Its description in RNAcentral is "partial 16S ribosomal RNA". It matches the Rfam family "Bacterial small subunit ribosomal RNA", at positions 1380 to 1482 of the family's 1533-position model. The record is from RNAcentral.